CGAUUCCUUUUUCACAUACUCAUAAAGUCAGACGCACAAAUAUACACGCAUAAAAAGGAAAGUGGCAGACGUUAGAAAAUGAGAAGUUAGAUGGAUAGACAACGAAGGAAGCGUUACAUGGCGAGAGGAAGCGUUUUGGCUACCGCUAGCUUGUCCUAUAUUUCCGAUAUGAAUAUAUUAUAAGAAGGAGCAUAUUGUUAUUUCGUCAGACCAUUCUUUCACAGUGUCAAUUCCUGUGUUGCCACGGUAACAGCCUAGAUUCGAGAGGUUGGGAGAUGCGAACCCACAGAGCAGAGACAAAGGGUAGCGCGUGCGCUCAUUCGUUGGUCCGCCUACAUAUUUGUACAUCUACACGCUUGUGUACGUACACGGAUACUGGUAAAAUCUGUCCAGAAGAAGAACAGAAGAGAAAGAAGAAGAGAACUAUUGUCGCUCGAUCGUGUCCUUUUGUUACAUAUUUCCGGUAGCAGGGCUUACAACGGACGUAAACAAUCCAUUGAAAUAUACGGCAAUGUUCCCGUCUUUGUACGCGCGUAUAGCCGACGAAUUCCGAUUUAACAAAGUCGACGAACACUCGACCAAUUUCCUUUCCCUGAAAACAUACUUGUCGCGCGACUAUUCAUUUUCAAUUUGCGUUCAGCUAAUAAUUUCCGCGUUCUCGUAUCGGAUCGCUUUUCCAACAUUUGCUGCCUAUUGCGAUCAAUGAAAACUAGGUCACGCUUUUCCUCGUAUCAAGAAGACAGGUAAAGUCAAACGAGGCCAUUCGUCCCCGUAAUCACACACCAACGAUCUUGCUAACGUUUUACUUUGGAUAGCCAAUAUUAAUAAAUUUGAACGACCGCUUGCAUAUUUAUCGCACAAUCGACGCGAUAUAUUCGCAACAGAUGUUACUUUAAACUUUAGAGACUUUGGAAAAUAUAUUACGGCGCAUAUCGUGCUUAACGUAAAGAGAAUUCAAAGUUCAAAGAUCGUACUAUGUGUG
Long non-coding RNA from Bombus terrestris (buff-tailed bumblebee), 982 nucleotides. RefSeq lists it as uncharacterized. Lineage: Eukaryota; Metazoa; Arthropoda; Insecta; Hymenoptera; Apidae. The transcript has 2 exons. The record is from RefSeq and is a predicted model, not a curated record.